This 155-nucleotide unclassified non-coding RNA is filed under the name uncultured Sordariomycetes. RNAcentral's name for it is "sequence contains ITS2". Lineage: Eukaryota; Fungi; Ascomycota; Sordariomycetes. The record is from RNAcentral.
CAACCAUCAAGCCCUACGGCUUGCGUUGGGGUCCUGCGGCCGUCCGCAGCCCCCUAAAUGCAGUGGCGGGCUCGCUGUCGCACCGAGCGUAGUAAUACAUCUCUCGCUCUGGUUGUCGGCGGUGGGCGCCUGCCGUAAAACCCCCAAUUUCUCAA